GGUAGCUCAGUGGUAGAGUGCUUGCCUUGCAAGCAUGAGGUCUUAGGUUCAAUUCCUCAGUACCA
RNAcentral lists this transfer RNA (65 nucleotides) under Dipodomys ordii (Ord's kangaroo rat). It matches the Rfam family "tRNA". Rfam says of the family: Transfer RNA (tRNA) molecules are approximately 80 nucleotides in length. Their secondary structure includes four short double-helical elements and three loops (D, anti-codon, and T loops). Further hydrogen bonds mediate the characteristic L-shaped molecular structure. tRNAs have two regions of fundamental functional importance: the anti-codon, which is responsible for specific mRNA codon recognition, and the 3' end, to which the tRNAs corresponding amino acid is attached (by aminoacyl-tRNA synthetases). tRNAs cope with the degeneracy of the genetic code in two manners: having more than one tRNA (with a specific anti-codon) for a particular amino acid; and 'wobble' base-pairing, i.e. permitting non-standard base-pairing at the 3rd anti-codon position. The record is from Rfam by way of RNAcentral. Lineage: Eukaryota; Metazoa; Chordata; Mammalia; Rodentia; Heteromyidae.